GAUGAACGCUGGCGGCGUGCUUAACACAUGCAAGUCGAACGGUGAAGCAGGAGCUUGCUCUUGUGGAUCAGUGGCGAACGGGUGAGUAACACGUGAGCAACCUGCCCCUGACUCUGGGAUAAGCGCUGGCAACGGCGUCUAAUACUGGAUAUGUGAUGUGACCGCAUGGUCUGCAUCUGGAAAGAAUUUCGGUUGGGGAUGGGCUCGCGGACUAUCAGCUUGUUGGUGAGGUAAUGGCUCACCAAGGCGUCGACGGGUAUCCGGCCUGAGAGGGUGAGCGGCCACAGUGGAACUGAGACAGAGCACGGGCUCCUACGGGGGGAAGCAGCGGGGGAUAUUGCACAAUGCGUGGAAGCCUGAUGGCGCAACGCCACGUGAGUGAUGACGGCCUUCGGGUUGUAAACCUCUUUUAGCAGGGAAGAAGCGAAAGUGGCGGUACCUGCAGAAAAAGCACCGGGUAACUACCUGCCAGCCGGCGCGGUAA
RNAcentral lists this ribosomal RNA (484 nucleotides) under uncultured bacterium. Its description in RNAcentral is "partial 16S ribosomal RNA". It matches the Rfam family "Bacterial small subunit ribosomal RNA", at positions 28 to 523 of the family's 1533-position model. The record is from RNAcentral.